Long non-coding RNA from Poecilia latipinna (sailfin molly), 900 nucleotides. RefSeq lists it as uncharacterized. The record is from RefSeq and is a predicted model, not a curated record. Lineage: Eukaryota; Metazoa; Chordata; Actinopteri; Cyprinodontiformes; Poeciliidae. The transcript is spliced from 2 exons.
GAUGCUCCUAAAGCCAGCAGAGACCCCGUCAUGAUGGCUGCAGGCUGCACCAGAUCAGGCAGGUUUAAUGGGUCAGUCUGUUCACAGACGCCCUGCAGCAGCCUGCAGCAGCAGCACAACACCUGGUGCAACAAGCCUGCAGGUAAAGCAUGAAGCUCCCUGACCAACAGGGAGGAGCAUCAGUGCCAAGUUUCCACUAAGAUAGAAAAACGCCUCUGAGGUCGGCUGAGAUGGAUGAGGCCGAGGUCCAGAUGGACCUGCUCAUGUCCAGGCAGGCAGGCAGGCAGUUCACCAAGCAGACAUGAUGGCAGGAAAGACCUCAACACCAUUUGGUCACAUGACUGAACAAAGGCUGCUGGGAAAUGGUGUUCGAUAAGGAAAACAGAACUUCAUGGUAUAAAACCUGCAGAAUGUAUUUUUCCUGUUGAGAUGGUUUUUGUCAGAAAUUAAUAUUGUUUUUAUUGCUGCAGUUGUCUUUCCUCAGCAGGCAGUUCAAGCUUCAAAUGCUUCUCUCAGUGAUGAGUCUGACUUGAGGUAAAAUCUGCACUAAAGGGACCUUCCAGCCGCACCGUGACCCACUGAACGGACUGCAAGUCCAUCAAGAUGUUCCUGAAGAACCAGCAGCUCCUCACCGACAUGCUGACCAGAAGUUCACUUUUAAUCUGGAAACAAUUACAUGAAGAUCAAUUGUUGAACUUUAAUAAAUAACUGUUUAACUCUAAAUGGCUGUUUAACAUGAAUGUAUAUGAUUGAGAAAUUCAAGGAGCCUCAGUUACAGUCAGAAUGUCAGUAUUUACAAUAUGGAAGGUAAAAGGAAUGAUAAACUUUAUCAAACAGAUCAAGUCCCAAUCAUUACCUGUUCUGUGGGAUAUUAUUUCCAUUAAAACCUGUCCGAUAAAG